RNAcentral lists this long non-coding RNA (2424 nucleotides) under Gallus gallus (chicken). RNAcentral's name for it is "lncRNA (ENSGALG00010028666.1)". Lineage: Eukaryota; Metazoa; Chordata; Aves; Galliformes; Phasianidae. The record is from RNAcentral.
GGUCAGUGCAGAUGGGGACCGCUGCAGUGAUGCUCAGUGGGGAUUUGGGGGAGAUCCUUCAGAGAUGGGAGCUUUGUGGGUCGGGGGGUCCUGGAGAAGAGGCUGGCGUGGGUUUGUGCUCCCCAGCCUACAGAUGCCCCAAAAGGGCCAAAAGGGGGGGGGGGUGCAGUGAUUUAGGGGACCCCAAUGGGAUCGGUGGGGCAGCCCUCAGCUGGGCUGAUGGGACCCCUCCUUAUGGAGCAGCUCACAGAGGGCUUCCAGCGGUCCGCAGGCAUCACAGCAUCCCAUAAGGAAAACCCACCUCCACCUACCUGAACCAAGGGCGGUGCUGCUCCCUUCCCGGUGUCACAUCCUAAAAUGCACCCCAAAGCCCUCCAACCGCACUGACGCCAUCCCCAAACCCCUCCAACUACAAUAACGUGCCCCAAAGCUCUCCAAACACUCUCACAUGUGCCCUAAACCCCACCAACCACACUGACACCGGCCCCAAAGCCCUCCAACGUGUGCCCCAAACCCCUCCAGCUACACUACCACACGCCCCAAACCCACAUAGCUUUGCCAAAACGUGCCCCAAACCCUCCAACCAAUGCUAACAGGGAGGGAUGCUAUGGGGCAGACCCCAUUCCCAGCCCCACACUGAAGGCUUUGGGGUUCUGACCCCACCACCAGCCCGGCUCUUCCCUUCGGUCCGGGCUCUCCUUGGACUCUGCUCCCAUUGCGGUGCGUUGCUGGGGAGACCAGCAGGUUUAUUUACUGUGAGGGCUGCGAUAAGGAUGGGAACGGGGCGGUGAACACGCGGUGUCCAAUGUGCCUGACCCACUUUCUGGCAGCCCGGAGCUGCGGUUGGAUUGCAGCGAGCGGAGGGGAGAGGUGUGGGGAGAUGGCCCCACAAGUGUUGGGGUUUGGGGUUUCCUACGCUGUGAACCUCGUGUUGUUCGGGCUGGGAGGGAGGGAGGAAAUGCAGCUGAGUGGGGACGGCGUUGUUUGGUGUUGGGGGGAAAGGGUGGGUGAUGGGAAAGGAUGUAGGGAUGGGUGCUGCAAGUUGGGUGCUGCAGGAGGAUGGGUGCUGCAGGAGGAUGGGUGCUGCAGGAGGAUGGGUGCUGCAGAAUGGGUGCUGCAGGAGGAUGGGUGCUGCAAAUGGGUGAUGCAGAGGAAUGGGUGCUACAGGGAGAUGCUGGAGAAGUAUGGGUGCUGCGCAAGGUUGGGUCGUGCAGAUGGGUGAUGCAGAAGGAUGGGUGCUGCAAGUUGGAUGCUGCAGAGGGAUGGGUGCUGCAGAAGGGUGGUGGUGAAGGAUGGGUGCUGCACAAGGAUGGGUCGUGUGGAGGGAUGGGUGCUGCAGGAGGAUGGGUGAUGCAGAUGGGUGAUAUGUAGGGCUGGGUGCUGCAGAAGGAUGGGUGCUGGAGGAGAAUGGGUGAUGCAGGGGGAUGGGUGCUGCAGAUGGGUGCUGCACAGGGUUGGGUGAUGCAGAAGGAUGGGUGCUGCAGGACAGGUGAUGCAGGGGGAUGGGUGCUGCACAGGGAUGGGUGAUGCAGGGGGAUGGGUGCUGCACAGGGAUGGGUAUUGCACGGGAAUGGGUGCUGCACAGGGAUGGCUGCUGCAGGAGGAUGGGGAGCAGCACCAACCAAACCCAGAAGCGAGAUGGGGAACAAAAGCCCUCCCCAUCCCCACACCCUGCAGCCGGGGGGGACAGGAGGAGCGGCAGUCCCCAUCCCGGCGUGUCCCCCCCGGCGCUGGCACAGUGGCCCAGAUCUGCCAUUCCGCAUGGCUUCCCCGGCCUCUCCCAGCACGCAGAGCGCCGCGCUGCUCCUCGCCCCCCGCCCGCUAAUCCGACACGACUCUUCCAUUAGAGCUGAGACGCCGGCAAAGAGCUUUUUGGUGUAGGAAUUAACUCCUUCUCCCACCCCGUCCCCCCUCUCUGCCUGUGCGGGUGCGUCCCCACCCUCCUCCUCUUCCUCCUCUUUCUCCCCCCGGGGCUGUGGGAUGAAGGCGCCGGGGGAUAAUCCUAAGCCCUAACCGAACCCUAAACGUGGGGUGGGAACAUGGGAGACAGCGGUCCCAAAGGAGAGCUCCCGGAGAGCCAAAGCGGCCCCAAAUGGGCAGCAAAGGGGGGAUCGGGGUGGGCGUCCCAUCCGAGGUGCUGAGCGGGGAUCAAUCAGCAGUGGAUGUGCCCACAGUGUCAGCAGUGUCACAGCCUGGAGCUGUCAGCCUCUCACAUCCGAUGUGACACUGCAGCUGGGGCUGCAGUGUGUGGGGUGGGUGCUCGGCGCCCUUCCAUCCCCCCACGUAAUGCUGUGGGGGGGUGACACCAUUCUUGGUGGGCCCAGAAGCAAAGCACAGCAGCGGCUGCGGCUCCUGCCCUGCGCUGAGGGCUCAGGCUCUGUCCCCACACAGGGUGUGGGUCUGCCCCACGCUGGCCAAGGCGGG